Long non-coding RNA from Rhodamnia argentea, 252 nucleotides. RefSeq lists it as uncharacterized. The transcript is spliced from 2 exons. The record is from RefSeq and is a predicted model, not a curated record. Lineage: Eukaryota; Viridiplantae; Streptophyta; Magnoliopsida; Myrtales; Myrtaceae.
GUUGCCGAAUCGCCUCAAUGCAAUUUCACUCCCAGCGACAUUGACUCAAAGCCGCAGUCUUCAACGCCACAUGUCCAUCUCUCUAAUUACUUGAGUGAGGUCAAAGCCAGGCUCAAACCGGAGCGUAACAGGAGCAGCAACAGCAACAGCAGCAGCAGAAGUGAUAUAACAUACCCACUUUCUCAUCUUCGUUUCCCGCCUUGAAUGCGCCGGACCAACAGCCUUUGAAAGCCGCUUCCCUCGAGGAAAUCC